RNAcentral lists this ribosomal RNA (229 nucleotides) under uncultured bacterium. RNAcentral's name for it is "partial 16S ribosomal RNA". It matches the Rfam family "Bacterial small subunit ribosomal RNA", at positions 568 to 796 of the family's 1533-position model. The record is from RNAcentral.
UCCGCAGGCGGGCCAGUAAGUCAGGGGUGAAAGUUUGCGGCUCAACCGUAAAAUUGCCUUUGAUACUGCUGGUCUUGAGUUGCGGUGAAGUGGCCGGAAUAUGUGGUGUAGCGGUGAAAUGCAUAGAUAUCACAUAGAACACCGAUUGCGAAGGCAGGUCACUAACCGCCGACUGACGCUGAUGGACGAAAGCGUGGGGAGCGAACAGGAUUAGAUACCCUGGUAGUCC